Molecule: ribosomal RNA, 334 nt
Filed under: uncultured Peptococcaceae bacterium
Lineage: Bacteria; Bacillati; Bacillota; Clostridia; Eubacteriales; Peptococcaceae
Description: bacterial SSU rRNA
Rfam family: Bacterial small subunit ribosomal RNA
Source: RNAcentral
GGUUGUCGUCAGCUCGUGCCGUGAGGUGUUGGGUUAAGUCCCGCAACGAGCGCAACCCUCAUUGUUAGUUACUACCAUUCAGUUGAGGACUCUAAUGAGACUGCCAACGAUAAGUUGGAGGAAGGUGGGGAUGACGUCAAAUCAUCAUGCCCUUUAUGACCUGGGCUACACACGUGCUACAAUGGCCUGUACAAAGGGUAGCGAAGCCGCGAGGUGAAGCCAAUCCCAAAAAGCAGGUCUCAGUUCGGAUUGUAGGCUGCAACUCGCCUACAUGAAGUCGGAAUCGCUAGUAAUCGCGGGUCAGCAUACCGCGGUGAAUACGUUCCCGGGCCUU